Vicia faba (fava bean) is the source of this 192-nucleotide non-coding RNA. The record is from the annotation of a GenBank genome assembly. Lineage: Eukaryota; Viridiplantae; Streptophyta; Magnoliopsida; Fabales; Fabaceae.
AUGCCGUAUUGGUGUGUACUCUUUACGGAAUCAUGUCCUCCUCCCGAAUAUAUGAAUGUUUGUUGUAUUCUCUUUCGAGUUCAUCUUGUUCAGAGGUUAGGAAUCGCGUUUGUUAAGACCUGUUUAAGGAAAGUAGAAAGUGAACCGGAGCUCGGAGCAUUGAAGGGAGGGUUGCACUAUUCGUUUCUUUGA